This 405-nucleotide ribosomal RNA is filed under the name uncultured bacterium. RNAcentral describes it as "bacterial SSU rRNA". It matches the Rfam family "Bacterial small subunit ribosomal RNA", at positions 954 to 1360 of the family's 1533-position model. The record is from RNAcentral.
AUGGGAACGCGAAGAACCUUACCUAGACUUGACAUCUCCUGAAUAGUGUAGAGAUACAUGAAGCCCUUCGGGGCGAGAAGACAGGUGGUGCAUGGUUGUCGUCAGCUCGUGUCGUGAGAUGUUGGGUUAAGUCCCGCAACGAGCGCAACCCUUAUUACUAGUUGCUACCAUUAAGUUGAGCACUCUAGUGAGACUGCCCGGGUUAACCGGGAGGAAGGCGGGGAUGGACGUCAAAUCAUCAUGCCCCUUAUGUCUAGGGCAACACACGUGCUACAAUGGUGAGUACAGAUAGAUGCGAUACCGCAAGGUGGAGCCAAACUCUAAAACUCAUCCCAGUUCGGAUUGUAGGCUGCAACUCGCCUACAUGAAGUUGGAGUUGCUAGUAAUCGCGAAUCAGAAUGUCGC